Molecule: ribosomal RNA, 499 nt
Filed under: uncultured archaeon
Lineage: Archaea
Description: partial 16S ribosomal RNA
Rfam family: Archaeal small subunit ribosomal RNA
Source: RNAcentral
UACUGCAGCGCGAGCGUGACGAGGUUAUCCGAGUGGCUCCCGCUGAGGGGGCUUUUGUUGGCUGUAAAAAGGCCGGCGAAUAAGGGGAGGGCAAGUCUGGUGUCAGCCGCCGCGGUAUUACCACUCCCCCAGGGGGCCGGGGCAAUUUUGGGGCCUAAGCCUCCCUUACCCGGUUCGUUAGGCUCCCGGUUAAUUCCAACCCUUCACCGGUGGACUGGCAAAGAAUCCCGCGGAAUUAGAAGGGGGAAAAGGGGAACGGACCCCCCCGGGUGGGGGUAAAUCCUUUGGUUCCGGGAAAAACCCCCAUGGGGAAAGGGGGCCCCCCGAACCGGCCUCAACGGGAAGGAAGAAAGCCGGGGGAACCAAACGGAAUAAAAUCCCCGGGAAGCCCCGCCGGAAACCAAGGCUGCUUAAAGAAUUCUUUCCCAGUUCCGAAAGGAAUGGCCCAAGGAAACCCGUUAACUUGCCCCCCGGGGAAUACCGGCCCCAGACUGGAACC